AUGUCGCAGCCCCUACCUUGCUCCUGGACUUUCAUGCUUUCCUCUGUGUUCCAACGUUCCUGGGAAAUCAUAUUCAUUCUGUCUAUAUCCAGUAAUGAAGAGAGAAGGAGUGUCUUCAUCUGGAAAGGAUACAAGGAAUCAACCACGGUUGCGUCUACUUUCAAUGGCUGUAUUUGGAGUUGCAGUUUUCAGAAACUAGAAGCUCAGAGGAGAAGCCCUGCAAAGUACAGCACAGAACUCCAAGGAACAGAAACACCUUUGCAGGUGUCACCUCUGAGGGAAUACAGCAAGUUACUAUUUUUGUGUGUGCUGGAAGAAACUAGAGGCUGAAGCCAAUUUCAGAGGCUACCCUGACAAGCUCUUCUGGAGCCAUAUAGCUAGGAGCAGCAAGCAAGCUAGAAAAGGGAAGUUUUGUUUUUUCUUCAUCUUCCUGCCUUCCAUUUUCUCUAAAAACCCCUUUGGGCAGUGAAACCAAGAAGCCAGGUGGUAAAAAUAAAUUUAUUUUGUAAAGUCAUAUUCCAAACAUCACAAAGCAAAAAAUAGAAGAGGAGAUAAGAAGGCAAGAGAAAAUAACCUAACAAUAAGCCCAUGAAGCUGUAUAUUAGACUUCAAACUCAAUUACAAACUUUUUGAAACCAAAGACCUUCUCUAGUGUCUAUCAAAAUGAGCAGAAAAUUAAAGGUGCUUGAAACUCUGUGCUGAAUUGAAAUGAUCUAUUCAUUUUUAAAUUAAUUCUACAAAUGUUUAUGGAGAACAAAUAUUUAUUAUAGACUCACUUGCAGGAUAUUUCAGAUAAAAAUAUGAAUAAGAUACCAUCUCUCCUUUCAGAUAAUUUACAACCUAAUGAGAAAAAUAGAUUGUAAAGAAAAGCAAUAAAUAAGUUUUAGUAGUCAGUGUGAUAUUUGUACCGUGGGGACCAAGAUACUGGGAAAGGGAGAAAAAGGAUUCAGAUUGAAAAGAUGGAUAUUUAUUCCACUUGGUUAACAAUAAGCAUCGUUCCAGCUAUUGCUCUAGGCUUUGGGCAUAAAAUGGUGACUGCAAGGGACAAAAUCCCCGCCCUUCACUGGGCUUAUAGACUGGUGAAGAGUAUAGACAAGGAAGAAGAACCUAGCCUCAUCUGCUCUACUGUUGUAUCAUAAAGAUAUUGAUCAUAGGAUGGGUUCAGCAGGCCAGUCCAGCUCCACAGACAAUCAUUAAUGUCUUCCUGUUCCAUGUGUAUUAUCGCUUAAUUUCUGUGUACACUCGAAAAUGAGAGGAGCUCACUUGACACCAUUCAUGCUUUUGUUCUAGCCUCAAACAGCAUGAAGAGGCAAUGACUUUGCAGUGACCCCAGUGGGCAGCAAAAUUAAAUCACUCCAAAGAAUAAUACUUUGCUAUUUAACUGGUCUGUCAGUGGUGUCACCACCUCCAGAUCUGGCAAGAAAACCAAAUAUCUGCGAAAUAGGCAGAUAGCACAGUACUUUUAAAACUACAGAAAUUCUACUGCUGGUAUAUGAUGGGGGGAAGUGGGCUUCAACUUGGAAUUCAGAUAGAUUCCUGUCUGCAUUGGGAAUCAUUUACUCACCAGUAUACUACAGCCUAAUUAUUUAAAUUGUCUGUGCCUCUGCAUCUCAUCAGAAACAUGAGAAUAAUAUAGCACCUAUGUUAUAUAAUUAUUUGGGGAUUAAAUAAAUAUCUUUACUGUCCCUGAUACCCUAUCUGGACUUUUGUAAAUUCAGACAUGAUAAGCCCAUGCCAUUACACCCUUUACAUUCUUUGGAUUGGUUUAAUGGUGAAUUCCACUAUCAGGUCAACUCUAAAAGUUGUAUAGACUAGAUACCAAUCUCACAGUAUAGCUGAAGAAAACAAAUAACAAAUUUUUUUUUUCCUUUUUUUGGUGGGGGAUAAAAUCUUGUUGUUAUAAAUCCAUGACAGAGCCUCAUCUACAAACCCGGACUUCUGAUUCCUAGUGGUAUUAAUUAUAGAUAGAAAAGGAAAAAGCACAUGCAUUUUAGAAUAAAUGUGCAAACAGAGAAACAAAUAAAUAAAUGAGCCAAUAAGUGAAGAAAUACAAUAAUAAGCUGGUGUGUUUUUAUUACAGCAAUGCUCGCUCAUUUUGAUUAAUAUUAUGUGAAAGUACCAGACCUUAAUAAUAAGGCUAAUUCCAAUGAAAGGUGGUAUACAAUUGUUAUUAACCAUUUCACACCAACAUGCAAACUGAAACUGAAUGUAUUCAGAGUGUAGAAUAGACUGUAUGCUUUUUUUUUUUUUUUUUUUUUUUUUGGAGACAGAGUCUCACUCUGUCACCAGGCUGAAGUGCAGUAGCAUGAUCUUGGCUCACUGCAACCUCUGCCUCCCAGGUUGAAGCGAUUCUCCUGCCUCAGUCUCCCGAGUAGCUGGGAAUACAGGCCCGCAACACCACACCCGGCUAAUUUUUGUACUUUUAGUAGAGACAGGGUUUCACCAUGUUGGCCAGGAAGGUCUCGAUCUCCUGACCUCAUGAUCUGCUCACCUCAGCCUCAAAAAGUGCUGUAUGAAUGUUUCGGGUUAUCUUUAGAGAAUAAGACAUAUCCACACUUGCAAUACUAAAGCAACCAUGUUGCACAUAUUCUCAGAGAAACAAAACAGUGACCAAAUCAAAAAGAGGCAUGCUGUCAGGGAAAGCUGGUCCUCCAACUCAGGUUUCCUACAAUUAUGAAUAGAGAGACCUGAAUUUUCAGGGGUUACUUUGUUUAACUUAAAAAAAAAUGAAUAAAAAUGCAAAAACUCUAAUAGAAACCAUGUUGCUUUUUUGUUUCCAGAAGGGAUUACAAUAUUAUUCCUAAUUUUAUAUGCCCCACUCCUUGAAAAGGGAAUCUGAAUAAGGGAAGGAAGAAAGAAAAUGACAACAGUUUUGUUUUAACUUUUCAGAGCAGCAAACAGUAACAAAGACAUUUCCACUUGAAAAGAAAAAUACGUAUUUCUCCCCAUGGCUAAGGAAAACCACCUUAUUAAACUUCAUAGUCAUGGAACACAGUUGGAAAAGUAUUACUCAGUGGGAGCUUUUAACCUGCAACUGGUGGGUACUAAAAUCUCCAGAGAAUGAGUAGGUCCUAUGAUAUCUUAAAAAGAGAUGGAAAAGAGAAAAGCACAGUGAAACUCCAAUGGAGGUUGGUUGCCUCAGAUUACAACAAUUAUAGGAACAAAUGAGAAAUAUUUACUUACAUUGAAAGUUGCUGAGCUUUGCAAAGGAAUCAAACCUGUUCUUCUGUGAAGCAGGUGUUAAUUUUUGAGAUGACUAUUGACCAAUGCUAUCUGUUAGAGAUGAUGAAAAAUAGUGUUGUGUAGGUAUACUCUGAGACGUCACCACAAUGCGCCGUCCUAUUCCCUUUGACAGUGGCAGAAGCAGCCUAGCUGAAAGAAGUACAAAAGAAUGUUAUAGCACACCAUACUAGUGAGAAAAUAGUAUUUGUUUAGGAUUUUAACACACCUAUUCUCUUUUCUUUGAAGACUACAUCUAAGAAACUGUCUUGGUUUAUGUGUUCUGCUAUUUCUCCAAAUAUAGUGGGGUAAGGACUUCUCUGAGCUAAGUGUCUGAUCACGGUACCCACUGAAAACUAUGACACCUUUGGCCCUGUCAGGUUUUACUUUUUGAUUUGGUCACUGUUUUGUUUCUCUGAGAAUAUGUGCAAAUUGUUGCUUUAGUAUUGCAAAAUGACUGCCUUAGUAUUGCAAGAUGCUCACUUUGUGUGUGAGAGUGUGGCUAUGUGUUAUUCUCUAGAGAUAG
This 3745-nucleotide long non-coding RNA is filed under the name Macaca mulatta (Rhesus monkey). Its description in RNAcentral is "lncRNA (ENSMMUG00000059761.1)". The record is from RNAcentral. Lineage: Eukaryota; Metazoa; Chordata; Mammalia; Primates; Cercopithecidae.